This 2959-nucleotide long non-coding RNA is filed under the name Homo sapiens (human). Its description in RNAcentral is "HSALNT0375310". The record is from RNAcentral. Lineage: Eukaryota; Metazoa; Chordata; Mammalia; Primates; Hominidae.
GGAGUGCUGGCUGUGGGCGGAGCCUGUGCGCCCGUGCGUUUGUGCCUCGCCUGUUUGGUCCUCAGGCAGUGUGGCGGGCAGGGCAUGAAACAGCCCCUGGUAUGCAAGUGGAGACAGAGGCUGGGAGAGAGCCGGUGCCCUGCCUAAACUCACGCAAGCAGGAAGAGGGCCAGGAAACACGAGUGUUCCUUUUGUGUGAAGUGUCUUGCCAGCCUCAUUUCCCUGGGAUGCCUCCAUCCUGUGACAGCCACUGCCCUCAUCACACUGACACGAUUCCUCCGAGCUGCCCAAGGGCAGUGUCCCUCGUAUCACAGUUGUGCUUUAUUCUUAAACCUUGUUUCUGUUCAGUUUGAAUUUCCUUUUCCUUGUUACCAGUUUCCAGUUCUUUGGUGCACUCUGCCUUUGCCAGCCAAUCCCCUCUGUUGAGAAUGCAUCUCUGCACAAUGCCGUAGGGGUGUCCCUGGGAGAUGAGGAGGUGGUACAACUGCAUGCUUUGCUGUCUGUGCAGGAGCUCAGUCACAGACACAGCUGUGACUUAUGACUGAGGAGCUAGCACUGAAGUUUGUAUUCCAUGCAAUUAUUUGUAGCUCAUAUACCAUGGUAAGUGAAAUUUGGGAAACUGGUGUUAUUUAACUAAACUGAGAUAACUGAAAUUUCUACACGGGACAAUUGUGCAAGGAAGGUGCUACAAGGCACAUGAUUACACAGUCCACAAAUGUAUGCAUGUGUGUGUGUGCCACGAGAGAGACUGGAAUUAAGUUUCAUUUCCUAGGAUGCAGUUGCUAUGUUUUUUUGGCUUGCUUUGGUUUUUUUUUAAUCAUAUACAUUCUUUCUGUUUGCACUUUUUUUUUAAAACAACAAGCAUGAGUUAGUUCCAUAGUUUAAAAAAAUCUUGUAAAUAAGCAUAUGUAGACGAUGAAGAUUUUUUUCAAAAUUUUUAAACUGAAUUAUUGAAAUAAAAAAGAGAUCAGGGUUAACUCUCAGUUAACCAGAAAAUUUAAAUAAGCAGAUGAUUCUGUGUGUCAUUCUGUAUCUAUUCAAUGAGAAAUAGAAAAGAUGUUUGUGUGUGUGUGUGUCUCUGUGUGAGUGUGUAUGUCUGUGUGUGUGUGUCUGUGUAUGUCUGUGUGUGUCUCUGUGUGAGUGUGUAUGUCUGUGUCUCUGUGUGAGUAUAUGUGUGUGUGUCUGUGUGUAUGUCUGUAUCUGUGUGUCUCUGUGAGUGUGUAUGUGUGAGUGUGUAUGUCUGUGUGUGUGUCUCUGCAUGUCUGUGUGUGUGUUUCUCUGAGUGUGUUUAUCUGAGUGCAUAUGUGUGUGUCUGUGUAAGUGUGUAUGUCUGUGUGUAUGUGUGUCUCUGAGUGUGUAUGUCUGUGUCUCUGUGUGAGUAUGUCUCUGUGUGUGUGUGUCUCUGUGUGACUGUGUAUGUCUCUGAGUGUGUGUGUUUCUGUGAGUGUGUAUGUCUGUGAGUGUGUAUGUCUGUGUGUGUGUCUCUGUGUGAGUGUGUAUGUCUGUGUGUGUGUGUGUGUGUGUGUGAGUGAGCACACAUGCAUGUCCAGGAAACUAAGUGCUGAGAGAGCAGAGAUGUCCUUACUCGGGCAGGCUGGAGUGCAGUGACCUCCCUCACGUGCAGACGAUGAGGGGUGGUGGCCUCUUGGGGUCCUGCCAUCAAUGACCAGCCCACAACUCUCACCACAGCCCCAACCACCUUUACUGCUAUUUACUUAAUAUUUUUUUAGGUUGACUUCAAAUUGGCUCAUUUUUUUUUGUACUUAGCAAUAAUACUUGGGAAAUUAUCACUUUGAAGUGCUAGUUUUAGGGUUUUUUUCACCUAAUAGAGAUUAGAAUAAAUUUAUAACCAUUAAAAUAAAAAAAAUGUUCCUUUGGGGACCAGCUAAAAUCCCUGCCACAGGAGGAAAUAAAUGCAGAUGCCGUGGAGACACACCUGUAGGAGAAGUGGAGCCAGGUGAGUGGCAGAGCGGCUUCCCCGCAGGCGGGGACACUAACGGAUGCUGGAGCCCCAGCCCAGGGCUGUGCCUGCCAGAGCUCUGGCUCUGAGACGCCACCCAGCAGGAAAAUCCAAUGAAUGGGAAUGCUCAGAAAAUAAGGCAUUUGGGUAGAUCUUGUAUUUUUUUCCUGCAUAGCACAAUUAACCCAGAUCUUACAUUUUUUUCUUGCUUAGCACAAUUAACCCAGAUAUGAUUCUUGUUUUUGAGAGGUGCUGUUAGAAAUCUUUGUAAAAUGUGUAAGGAUAUUUUUUUUUCUGCCUUUGUGAAUAUGGAAAACACAUUUACUCUGUUUGGCUUGUUCUAAAUCUCACAGUCCUGUGAGUCAUCACGCUGGAUGCCCAUUCUUGUUAUAAAAUGCUGAGAUGUGUGUGCCGGAGGUGGAGGACACUAGUUUGAAUUUAUUUCUUUAUUUUCUUUUAUACUUAAAAAAGUACCUGGUGUCAGCAAUUGAUCUGAUGGCCGUGUUUUGCCUUAAAAUCUGGCCAGUGCAGUCUGCGCCACCUGGGAGGUGGGCUCAGGAGCCUGUUAGAAACGUGGAGUCUCAGGUCUCUCCCAGAUCUGCUAACACAGAACCUGCACUUCGGCACCAUGCCCGGGUGUUGCAGAGGCAGAGGAAAGUUUGAAAGGCACUCCUCUAACAUGAUCUAGAAAAAAUGAAGUCGAACUGGGAGGGGAAACUGCUAAAACAUGAUGGUAAAAUAUUGAUAAUUGCCAGAUGGAAGUUUGCAUGAGUUUUCUUGUAUUGUUCUCUCUUCUAAUUGUGUAAAGGAUAGGAGUUAAAAAUAAACCCGUAGUAUUACCUUGUUUGGUUCUUAUUUACCUAUUACUGCCAAUAGUCAAUUUCCCUAAUAAAAAAGUAAAUUCUUCUCUUGCAUGUGAAAUCACAGUUUAUUCAGGUAUGAAUCCUCUCUGGUAAAUCCGAAUUUUAUUGUAUGUUUAACCUGAUAAAUGAAGGAUUU